This 506-nucleotide ribosomal RNA is filed under the name uncultured bacterium. RNAcentral describes it as "partial 16S ribosomal RNA". It matches the Rfam family "Bacterial small subunit ribosomal RNA", at positions 29 to 523 of the family's 1533-position model. The record is from RNAcentral.
AGUGAACGCUGGCGGUAGGCCUAACACAUGCAAGUCGAACGGCAGCACAGGAGAGCUUGCUCUCUGGGUGGCGAGUGGCGGACGGGUGAGGAAUACAUCGGAAUCUACUCUGUCGUGGGGGAUAACGUAGGGAAACUUACGCUAAUACCGCAUACGACCUACGGGUGAAAGCAGGGGACCUUCGGGCCUUGCGCGAUUGAAUGAGCCGAUGUCGGAUUAGCUAGUUGGCGGGGUAAAGGCCCACCAAGGCGACGAUCCGUAGCUGGUCUGAGAGGAUGAUCAGCCACACUGGAACUGAGACACGGUCCAGACUCCUACGGGAGGCAGCAGUGGGGAAUAUUGGACAAUGGGCGCAAGCUUGAUCCAGCCAUACCGCGUGGGUGAAGAAGGCCUUCGGGUUGUAAAGCCCUUUUGUUGGGGAAGAAAUCCAGCUGGCUAAUACCCGGUUGGGAUGACGGUACCCAAAGAAUAAGCACCGGCUAACUUCGUGCCAGCAGCCGCCGUAA